RNAcentral lists this ribosomal RNA (293 nucleotides) under uncultured eukaryote. Its description in RNAcentral is "partial 18S ribosomal RNA". It matches the Rfam family "Eukaryotic small subunit ribosomal RNA", at positions 6 to 302 of the family's 1831-position model. The record is from RNAcentral.
GGUUGAUCCUGCCAGUAGUCAUAUGCUUGUCUCAAAGAUUAAGCCAUGCAUGUCUAAGUAUAAACACUUGUACUGUGAAACUGCGAAUGGCUCAUUAAAUCAGUUAUAGUUUAUUUGAUAGUCUCUUACUACAUGGAUAACCGUGGUAAUUCUAGAGCUAAUACAUGCAUAAAAGCCCGACUUUUUGGGAGGGCUGUAUUUAUUAGAUAAAAACCUUUGCAGAUUUCUGCUUUUUGGUGAUUCAUAAUAACUUUACGAAUCGAAUGGCCUUGUGCUGUCGAUAUUUCAUUCAA